Molecule: transfer RNA, 72 nt
Filed under: Camelus bactrianus (Bactrian camel)
Lineage: Eukaryota; Metazoa; Chordata; Mammalia; Artiodactyla; Camelidae
Also listed under: 2 other names
Rfam family: tRNA
About the family: Transfer RNA (tRNA) molecules are approximately 80 nucleotides in length. Their secondary structure includes four short double-helical elements and three loops (D, anti-codon, and T loops).
Source: Rfam by way of RNAcentral
GAGGGUAUAGCUCAGUGGUAGAGUGCGUGAUUAGCAAACACAAGGUCCUGGGUUCAAUCCCCAGCACCUCCG